CUUCUGCUAAUUGGUUUCUGUCUAGCCACUCAACAGUCUCGUCAAUCGCCUUCUCGAUCUUCUGUUUAUCUGCUGGAUUAAGUUUUCCUCCGAUCUUCUCGUCCUUCACCGUGUUUCUCAUAUUGUAAGCGUAAUUUUCAAGUGAGUUUUUAGCUUCUACCUUCUUCUUCACCUGUUCAUCUUCUGCUUUGUACCUCUCUGCUUCCUGAACCAUUCUAUCAAUCUCAUCUUUGCUUAAUCUUCCUUUGUCGUUUGUAAUCGUAAUCUUGUUUUUCACACCAGCAGUUUUAUCCUCUGCAGAGACAUUGAGGAUUCCAUUCGCGUCGAUGUCGAAGCAGACGUUGAUCUGAGGAACACCUCUCGGCGCCGGCGGGAUUCCGGUGAGUUCAAAUUUUCCGAGCAGAUUAUUGUCUUUCGUUCUAGCUCGUUCACCUUCGUAGACCUGGAUUAACACUCCGGGUUGAUUAUCAGAGUAAGUUGAGAAAAUCUGCUCCUUCUUCGUCGGGAUCGUCGUGUUCCUCGGAAUCAAAACCGUCAUUACCCCGCCGGCGGUUUCGAUUCCGAGACUUAGAGGAGUAACAUCGAGAAGGAGAAGAUCUUGAACCUUC
Molecule: long non-coding RNA, 608 nt
Filed under: Carica papaya (papaya)
Lineage: Eukaryota; Viridiplantae; Streptophyta; Magnoliopsida; Brassicales; Caricaceae
Description: long non-coding RNA (CPAP_LNC002908)
Source: RNAcentral